Molecule: long non-coding RNA, 271 nt
Filed under: Nicotiana benthamiana
Lineage: Eukaryota; Viridiplantae; Streptophyta; Magnoliopsida; Solanales; Solanaceae
Description: long non-coding RNA (NBEN_LNC035755)
Source: RNAcentral
UUCUUGGUAGCUGGAGUACUCUAGAGCACCAAUCUGAUAAAUAGCCUGUUUGGCCAAGCUUUUAAAUCUACUUUUUUGAGAAGUGUUUUUCUCCAAAGUGCUUUCCAGAAAAGUACUUUUGGUGAGAAGCAGUUUGUGUUUGGCUAAUUAUUUUUUUUUGGGUAACUAAAACUUUUAUUACCAAGUAAUAUUUACACUGAUUUGCUUUAGCUUGUUCUAGACAUACGCCCCAGACUAAGCUACUUCUUCUUUUCCUCUAAUCUCCCCGUAU